AUUCCAGCUCCAAUAGCGUAUAUUUAAGUUGUUGCGGUUAAAAAGCUCGUAGUUGGAUUUCGGGCGUGGAGGUUCGGUCCGCCGUUUCGGUGUGCACUGUCUUUCUGCGUCUUUCUGUCGGGGACGCGCUUCUGGCCUUAAUUGGCUGGGACGUGGAUUCGACGAGGUUACUUUGAAAAAAUUAGAGUGUUCAAAGCAAGCUAAAGCUCUGAAUACAUUAGCAUGGAAUAACGCGAGAGGACUCGGUCCUUAUUUUGUUGGUCUUCAAGGAUGGAGUAAUGAUUAAGAGGGACAGUUGGGGGCAUUCGUAUUUCAUUGCUAGAGGUGAAAUUCUUGGAUUUAUGAAAGACGAACUUCUGCGGAAGCAUUUACCAAAGAUGUUUUCAUUA
This 389-nucleotide ribosomal RNA is filed under the name Pycnococcaceae sp. RNAcentral's name for it is "partial small subunit ribosomal RNA". It matches the Rfam family "Eukaryotic small subunit ribosomal RNA", at positions 582 to 975 of the family's 1831-position model. Lineage: Eukaryota; Viridiplantae; Chlorophyta; Pseudoscourfieldiophyceae; Pseudoscourfieldiales; Pycnococcaceae. The record is from RNAcentral.